This 482-nucleotide ribosomal RNA is filed under the name uncultured bacterium. RNAcentral's name for it is "bacterial SSU rRNA". It matches the Rfam family "Bacterial small subunit ribosomal RNA", at positions 28 to 494 of the family's 1533-position model. The record is from RNAcentral.
GAUGAACGCUAGCGGCAGGCUUAAUACAUGCAAGUCGAGGGGCAUCAAGGUACACGAAAGUGUAUUGUUGGCGACCGGCGGACGGGUGAGUAAUAGGUAGGUAACCUACCUCAUACUGAGGCAUAGCUGGGAGAAAUUCCAGGUAAUUCCUCAUGAGGUUAUAUGACACAUGUGAUAUAAUCAAAGGUAUCGCAAGGUACUGGUAUGAGAUGGGCUUACUGACCAUUAGCUAGUUGGUGAGAUAAGAGCUCACCAAGGCGAAGAUGGUUAGGGGUUUUGAGAGAGAGAUCCCCCACAUUGGAACUGAGAUACGGUCCAGACUCCUACGGGAGGCAGCAGUAGGGAAUAUUGGCAAUGGGCGGAAGCCUGACCCAGCCAUGCCGCGUGAAGGAAGACGGCCUUAUGGGUUGUAAACUUCUUUACUAUGCGACUAACUAGAUUUACGAGAUAAUUCUAUAGAAUGUAGCAUAGCAAAAAGCACC